UCUCUCUCCAAUUAUCCACAGCCUCGGAGGCGAAUCUCUCUGAGUUACUCAAGCUAGGCCACAAGGUCAUCAUAAGCACCAUUCUCUAUAUUUCAAUCAAUCAUUUCCUGUUCGGAUCAGGAAGCAUUCACAUGAACAAGCUCUUGCUGUUUUAUAUUGGCUAAUAAAUAACUUUAUAUAUCCUAAGCAUGUGCCCUUGGAGCUUGGAGGAGAUGAGAGAAAAUUGAAAUCUUGGAAGCUAUGUCACAUCUUCUCAAACAGGUGUAACCAGAUGACAUGAUCGUUUUGGCACCGAACCUGAACCUGAUCCUGUUGAAAGGGAAAUACCAAUGCUGCCAAAAAUUGAUCCACAAGUCAUACACAACUGGGUGAUUGUUGUUUGAGGGAUAUAUUUCCUUGUUCCAUUGGUAAAACUAGUUUCAUUUUAUAUGCUUGAGCAUAAAAUUAUUCGAUAUGCUUGUAACAUAAUUAUGUAUCAUUAGGUUUUCAUUCAAUAGCUGUACUACUAUGUUUAUUCUUGCUAUGAUUAUUAUUUAUGGAUUUUCCUCUUUUAUUCAAAGAUUGAUGCCAAUUUAGCAUCAAAUCAUAAUGAAUGAAGGAGCUAGUUGUAGUAUAGAACUGAUAGUCUGUGUUCUUUCAGAUACCUUUGUUGUGGAGCAUGGGCAGUUGAGCUUAAUUUGGAACUAUCACCAUAGAUAUAUUUGCCAUUUUAAGCUUAUUUAUGUUGUUAGCAUUAAGUAGGUGACAGGUUUAACUCUUCCACAUAUCUCCAAUGAAGAGAUGUUGCAGGAAACCAAAUGAAAUGUGUAUCGUGAUACCGGAGCUUUUGUUGCUGUCUAUUCUGCAAUGGGAAUAUGAAGAGGAUACUUCAUCUUUCAGUUGGCUUCAUUGCAUUUGCACCAGAAAUCAGAGGCAUUGUAGAGAGCCAUGCAAGAAGCUUUGUUAGUGACUUAGUGUCAAUGUGUUCAGCAUUUACUUUGCUGGAUUUAGUACUCAAACAUGUUCAUUGACAUCACGGUUUAUUUAUUUAUUUUCUGUGAGGUACUUAGAGUUUUGAGGUUCUC
Arachis stenosperma is the source of this 1064-nucleotide long non-coding RNA. RefSeq lists it as uncharacterized. NCBI's taxonomy places the organism in Eukaryota, Viridiplantae, Streptophyta, Magnoliopsida, Fabales, Fabaceae. The transcript is spliced from 3 exons. The record is from RefSeq and is a predicted model, not a curated record.